This 2803-nucleotide ribosomal RNA is filed under the name Escherichia coli. RNAcentral describes it as "partial 23S ribosomal RNA". It matches the Rfam family "Bacterial large subunit ribosomal RNA". The record is from RNAcentral. Lineage: Bacteria; Pseudomonadati; Pseudomonadota; Gammaproteobacteria; Enterobacterales; Enterobacteriaceae.
GGGUUGUGAGGUUAAGCGACUAAGCGUACACGGUGGAUGCCCUGGCAGUCAGAGGCGAUGAAGGACGUGCUAAUCUGCGAUAAGCGUCGGUAAGGUGAUAUGAACCGUUAUAACCGGCGAUUUCCGAAUGGGGAAACCCAGUGUGUUUCGACACACUAUCAUUAACUGAAUCCAUAGGUUAAUGAGGCGAACCGGGGGAACUGAAACAUCUAAGUACCCCGAGGAAAAGAAAUCAACCGAGAUUCCCCCAGUAGCGGCGAGCGAACGGGGAGCAGCCCAGAGCCUGAAUCAGUGUGUGUGUUAGUGGAAGCGUCUGGAAAGGCGCGCGAUACAGGGUGACAGCCCCGUACACAAAAAUGCACAUACUGUGAGCUCGAUGAGUAGGGCGGGACACGUGGUAUCCUGUCUGAAUAUGGGGGGACCAUCCUCCAAGGCUAAAUACUCCUGACUGACCGAUAGUGAACCAGUACCGUGAGGGAAAGGCGAAAAGAACCCCGGCGAGGGGAGUGAAAAAGAACCUGAAACCGUGUACGUACAAGCAGUGGGAGCACGCUUCGGCGUGUGACUGCGUACCUUUUGUAUAAUGGGUCAGCGACUUAUAUUCUGUAGCAAGGUUAACCGAAUAGGGGAGCCGAAGGGAAACCGAGUCUUAACUGGGCGUUAAGUUGCAGGGUAUAGACCCGAAACCCGGUGAUCUAGCCAUGGGCAGGUUGAAGGUUGGGUAACACUAACUGGAGGACCGAACCGACUAAUGUUGAAAAAUUAGCGGAUGACUUGUGGCUGGGGGUGAAAGGCCAAUCAAACCGGGAGAUAGCUGGUUCUCCCCGAAAGCUAUUUAGGUAGCGCCUCGUGAAUUCAUCUCCGGGGGUAGAGCACUGUUUCGGCAAGGGGGUCAUCCCGACUUACCAACCCGAUGCAAACUGCGAAUACCGGAGAAUGUUAUCACGGGAGACACACGGCGGGUGCUAACGUCCGUCGUGAAGAGGGAAACAACCCAGACCGCCAGCUAAGGUCCCAAAGUCAUGGUUAAGUGGGAAACGAUGUGGGAAGGCCCAGACAGCCAGGAUGUUGGCUUAGAAGCAGCCAUCAUUUAAAGAAAGCGUAAUAGCUCACUGGUCGAGUCGGCCUGCGCGGAAGAUGUAACGGGGCUAAACCAUGCACCGAAGCUGCGGCAGCGACACUAUGUGUUGUUGGGUAGGGGAGCGUUCUGUAAGCCUGUGAAGGUGUGCUGUGAGGCAUGCUGGAGGUAUCAGAAGUGCGAAUGCUGACAUAAGUAACGAUAAAGCGGGUGAAAAGCCCGCUCGCCGGAAGACCAAGGGUUCCUGUCCAACGUUAAUCGGGGCAGGGUGAGUCGACCCCUAAGGCGAGGCCGAAAGGCGUAGUCGAUGGGAAACAGGUUAAUAUUCCUGUACUUGGUGUUACUGCGAAGGGGGGACGGAGAAGGCUAUGUUGGCCGGGCGACGGUUGUCCCGGUUUAAGCGUGUAGGCUGGUUUUCCAGGCAAAUCCGGAAAAUCAAGGCUGAGGCGUGAUGACGAGGCACUACGGUGCUGAAGCAACAAAUGCCCUGCUUCCAGGAAAAGCCUCUAAGCAUCAGGUAACAUUAAAUCGUACCCCAAACCGACACAGGUGGUCAGGUAGAGAAUACCAAGGCGCUUGAGAGAACUCGGGUGAAGGAACUAGGCAAAAUGGUGCCGUAACUUCGGGAGAAGGCACGCUGAUAUGUAGGUGAAGUCCCUCGCGGAUGGAGCUGAAAUCAGUCGAAGAUACCAGCUGGCUGCAACUGUUUAUUAAAAACACAGCACUGUGCAAACACGAAAGUGGACGUAUACGGUGUGACGCCUGCCCGGUGCCGGAAGGUUAAUUGAUGGGGUUAGCGGUAACGCGAAGCUCUUGAUCGAAGCCCCGGUAAACGGCGGCCGUAACUAUAACGGUCCUAAGGUAGCGAAAUUCCUUGUCGGGUAAGUUCCGACCUGCACGAAUGGCGUAAUGAUGGCCAGGCUGUCUCCACCCGAGACUCAGUGAAAUUGAACUCGCUGUGAAGAUGCAGUGUACCCGCGGCAAGACGGAAAGACCCCGUGAACCUUUACUAUAGCUUGACACUGAACAUUGAGCCUUGAUGUGUAGGAUAGGUGGGAGGCUUUGAAGUGUGGACGCCAGUCUGCAUGGAGCCGACCUUGAAAUACCACCCUUUAAUGUUUGAUGUUCUAACGUUGACCCGUAAUCCGGGUUGCGGACAGUGUCUGGUGGGUAGUUUGACUGGGGCGGUCUCCUCCUAAAGAGUAACGGAGGAGCACGAAGGUUGGCUAAUCCUGGUCGGACAUCAGGAGGUUAGUGCAAUGGCAUAAGCCAGCUUGACUGCGAGCGUGACGGCGCGAGCAGGUGCGAAAGCAGGUCAUAGUGAUCCGGUGGUUCUGAAUGGAAGGGCCAUCGCUCAACGGAUAAAAGGUACUCCGGGGAUAACAGGCUGAUACCGCCCAAGAGUUCAUAUCGACGGCGGUGUUUGGCACCUCGAUGUCGGCUCAUCACAUCCUGGGGCUGAAGUAGGUCCCAAGGGUAUGGCUGUUCGCCAUUUAAAGUGGUACGCGAGCUGGGUUUAGAACGUCGUGAGACAGUUCGGUCCCUAUCUGCCGUGGGCGCUGGAGAACUGAGGGGGGCUGCUCCUAGUACGAGAGGACCGGAGUGGACGCAUCACUGGUGUUCGGGUUGUCAUGCCAAUGGCACUGCCCGGUAGCUAAAUGCGGAAGAGAUAAGUGCUGAAAGCAUCUAAGCACGAAACUUGCCCCGAGAUGAGUUCUCCCUGAC